This 258-nucleotide ribosomal RNA is filed under the name uncultured bacterium. RNAcentral describes it as "partial 16S ribosomal RNA". It matches the Rfam family "Bacterial small subunit ribosomal RNA", at positions 793 to 1050 of the family's 1533-position model. The record is from RNAcentral.
GUCCACGCCGUAAACGAUGUCAACUAGCCGUCUGUUGCCUUGAGCAGUGGGUGGCGUAGCUAACGCGCUAAGUUGACCGCCUGGGGAGUACGGCCGCAAGGUUAAAACUCAAAUGAAUUGACGGGGGCCCGCACAAGCGGUGGAGCAUGUGGUUUAAUUCGAUGCAACGCGAAGAACCUUACCAUCCCUUGACAUCCAGAGAAUUUUCUAGAGAUAGAAUUGUGCCUUCGGGAACUCUGUGACAGGUGCUGCAUGGCU